GUAGGCUAAUUAAAAACUGACCGUUGCCCAUCGCUGGACGCACCGGAGGACCGAGACACAAAGUAAACACGCCUCUCUGACCGGUACCGGGGGGGUGUGCAGUGUGUCG
Molecule: long non-coding RNA, 109 nt
Organism: Sander lucioperca (pikeperch)
Lineage: Eukaryota; Metazoa; Chordata; Actinopteri; Perciformes; Percidae
Exons: 3
Source: RefSeq, a predicted model, not a curated record